RNAcentral lists this ribosomal RNA (253 nucleotides) under uncultured bacterium. Its description in RNAcentral is "partial 16S ribosomal RNA". It matches the Rfam family "Bacterial small subunit ribosomal RNA", at positions 524 to 776 of the family's 1533-position model. The record is from RNAcentral.
GACAGGGGGUGCAAACGUUGUUCGGAAUUACUGGGCGUAAGGCGUGUGUAGGCGGCCAUGUAAGUCGGAUGUGAAAGCCCCGGGCUUAACCCGGGAAGUGCAUUCGAUACUGCGUGGCUUGAGUAUCGGAGAGGUUGGUGGAAUUCUCGGUGUAGAGGUGAAAUUCGUAGAUAUCGAGAGGAACACCGGUGGCGAAGGCGGCCAACUGGACGAAUACUGACGCUGAGGAGCGAAAGCGUGGGGAGCGAACAGG